Molecule: non-coding RNA, 581 nt
Organism: Odocoileus virginianus texanus
Lineage: Eukaryota; Metazoa; Chordata; Mammalia; Artiodactyla; Cervidae
Source: RefSeq, a predicted model, not a curated record
UCUCUAGACAUCACAGGGUACAUGCAAGUGACCCAGACCUGUCCCGUGACCACUGUCCAGGCACCUACGGGGGUGAAGGACAAUAAGAGGAAUGUAGACCUCUCCCCACCAGUAUGGACCUGUUGCUUCUCUGGGUGGAAAAUGACAGAGAAGGUGCUCAACAGAUGUCAGCUGAAUGAAUCAAUGACUGAAGAAUGGAAAUAAGCACCCACACAUGUUCAAACAUCACAUUCAAGGCUUCUGGAAACCUCUACGGGUCACCAGCAGAGACAAAGGGACUCUGUGCUUGACAGGAUACUGUUGCUAUAGCAACCUGCUACCCAGAGAAGCCUCUACCAUUCUCUCCUUACAGUAACCAAGAGAGCUCCAUUUUUACCCUUAGCAAGCAUGUCUGGGACUCCACCACUGGCAGACUUGAAGCUGAAAGUAAAUCAAGAAACCCUUCUCCCAGAGUAGAAGACUCUUAACAUCAGAUUGAAUCUCCAAGUUGGGAUUUAGUAGUUGACUGCAAAAUUCGGCUUCAUGAUUUUCUGAGCAAUUUUUAACUGAAGGUUUGCCGUUAAACUGUUUAUGAAUUCAAC